This 425-nucleotide unclassified non-coding RNA is filed under the name soil metagenome. RNAcentral's name for it is "partial contains 5.8S ribosomal RNA, internal transcribed spacer 2, and large subunit ribosomal RNA". The stretch from base 1 to 120 matches the Rfam family "5.8S ribosomal RNA", at positions 35 to 154 of the family's 154-position model. The record is from RNAcentral.
GAUGAAGAACGUAGCGAAAUGCGAUAAGUAGUGUGAAUUGCAGAAUUCCGUGAAUCAUCGAAUCUUUGAACGCACAUUGCGCCUUCUGGUAUUCCGGAAGGCAUGCCUGUUCGAGAGUCAUUAACAACCGUUUCGAUCCCUUUCUUUCAGAAAUUACAAAGAGGAAAAGGGUUUGGUUAUGGUGGAGGAGGGAAAGGGAGCGUUUAGCCUGUAAAAAAAGAGGCUGUGUUCCGCCUCCCCCCCAAAAUUGUACAGGCGGUCGUGUGCGCCCACGCAUCGAGGUGUUGUAAAAGCUGCCACGGCACUUUUCACCUGUGCAGUGCGAGAUUGGCCAGCCGGUUUAAAAACCCCUCCAAACAAUCAAAGGUUGACCUCGGAUCUGGUAGGGAUACCCGCUGAACUUAAGCAUAUCAAUAAGCGGAGGA